This 5698-nucleotide long non-coding RNA is filed under the name Panax ginseng (ginseng). RNAcentral describes it as "long non-coding RNA (PGIN_LNC018430)". The record is from RNAcentral. Lineage: Eukaryota; Viridiplantae; Streptophyta; Magnoliopsida; Apiales; Araliaceae.
UAGAAAGAAAGCCUAAGAUCACCUGAAAACCCCUGACACCUUCCUUGUAUUCUAAAUCUUAAAAUUAUAUAACGCUGUUGAUUAGAAUCUUGUUAUCCUACUUCUUCGUUACUUUAGUUAAGCAUCAUCUUUUCCCUAAAAUAUUACAAUUGAUAACCAGUUUUGGGAAUCUUGCAGAAAACAUUAAUGGCCGCCUGCACAAAAUUUGGCAUGACAUUUGAAGUAAGCCAGCCAGCCAGCCAGCCAUUACAGAACAAAUUAAAGGUACGUACGUAGUUGCAGGUUGCUAUCAUUAAUGUAGAUUUAAUAGUUUAAUCAAAUAAUGAAAUCUGAUGAAGAUCUUAACUGAUAAAUUAGUGUUCAACCAAAAGCUGAGGUUCAAGAUUUCUGAAAAAUGAUGACACUGCACUUGGCUACAUAACAUUUAAACACCAAGGGACUCAAAUCUAUACAUCAUCAACUAAAAGUGAUAUUGGAUGAUUAGAAAGAGCUAGCUAGGCCUCCUCGGCGGCGGCUUCACCUGGGAUACCAUACAUACCAUAAUCCUAAUCAGUAAUCACCACAACAUAUAUAAUGAAUAAUUGUUCUAAAGGCACCUCCCAUUACAAGUUACCAAUAUAAUAGUACUACCAAAUAUUGUAUAUAGAUAUAUACAAGGCUAACAAAGAUCGGGUAUUACCGGAUGGAGAUGAGGUUUUGAGGACCCAAAGCUUGCUUCAAUAUGCUACUUAAAUCCUCCCUCCUAAUUAAUUCCAAUAUGGCAGGGCAGUACGUAUAUACAACCUAAUAUGGAGAGAGAGAAGGAAAGUAAAACAGGAACUGCAAACACACAAUAGUUAGUUAGUUAGAUAAGUUGCAUAUAAUUAAAUGAUCAGUCGAUGUUAAGAAUAGGAGAUACCAAAAACUAAAAAAUAAAAAAUAAAAAGUCUAAUAAAGCUAAUUUUAAAAUAAAUAUAGAGAGGCAGCAGCAGAGAGAGACCUUAAUUAGGACAAACAUGUCAUGCAUCUGUGUCCUCCGUUUUCUCUGGGUGUCGAAGCUUUUCCAGAUGUUGAGCUAUCUGUGUCAACAGUUUUGUUCCUUCACCACCCUUCUGGAGUGUCAUCGCUGCAUGUUUUAAGAAUCCACUAUCUGCUUCAAUGGCUCUCAACCUCUCCCUAAAUAGUGACGACUCUCUUUUAAGGACGGCCUUAUUGUCAAUUCCUGCCACCCGAGAAGAUCGAUCAAAAAAUUAGCAGAUUGGUUAAAGAACAGAGAAAAGGGAAUGAGUUACACAUGCAUGUUAUUUACCUCUGUCUUCAUCUUCUUUGUUAACCAUGUCAUGAUUAGAACUCGAGGAACCAGUGCCCUCUUCUGAAGAGAACUGAACUUUCUUCUCUAGAUUUGUCAACAUACCUAAAAGAUAAGAUUUCUCACCCUCAAAAUCUAAUGAUGCUUCAUCAAUGGUCCCCCCUCUAUUUUCUCUUAUUCCUUCAGGACUAUCCUCGUUUUCGCGAUUAUAAUCCGCUUCACCAGGACUUUCGCACUCAGAUUUCUCACCAAAGGAUGAAUAAGUUUGAGAUUUCAACUCUUGGUAAUCUUCAUCUACAUCCACUUCACAUUCAUCACUACCUACCUUCUUCAAAUGUCCAUAUUUUUCUUUGUAUGCCUCAAGAUCAGCCUCUAAAACCUUGAUCUCAUCCUCUCUCUUGACAAUAAUAUCCUUCAUAACUUGUAGGGCUUCUUGGUCAUACUCUGCCUGCUCAUCCAUCAUUCUCUGAUAUUGUAAAGCCUCCAUUUGCACAGAGGCCUUCUCUGCCUGCAGCCUGGUGAUCAUGGCCAUUGCAUUAUUUGCAGCAACUGCAGAAGCACUUCUUUCUUCAUCCAGUUCCAUGUACAACUCGAUGAGGGACUUGCGAUCCAAACGAAUUUGUUUUUUCAAACGCUGCACAAUGUCGCCCUCUGCUUCAUUUGCAGCAUUUGUGUCAUUGGACUCGGCAAAGAACUCCUUCUCAAAUUGCUUUUUUCUGGCAAGCCGGUUAGCCCAUCUAGGAGUGCCUGGACCUGAAGCUGCAUCUGUUAGUGGGAUUCCAAAAAACUUGUUUCCUCUAAUGAAACUAGGAGUUUUGGAAGCAUCUUCACUUAUGUCCUCAGACUCUGGUAGAAAUCGCACCGUUGCAGAUUUUAAAUCCUCUCUGACUUCUACAAACAAUAUAAAGCAAAAUUUCUUUAGAAUAGAAAGUGUUCAAAUCCCUCGAAAGGUUGUCAGUUAGGAACUUGCUCCCGUGACUAGGAAGACAAAAUUCAGCAAAAAUAAAAAACAAUACACUGAGAAAGAAACUACCAUUGGUCAAAAUUAAACUAAAGAAACUACCAUAAUCAUAGUGUACAAAAGGAAAAUGUAGUGCUUUAUUUUUUUGUGGUAAUGUGUGUGGUGCAGUCUAAUGGUCUCUCUACUCUAAUUGAUCAUAUGUAUCUUACAAAUUGGCACUGCACAAAAAGAAGUAGCUAAAAAUAUAAUCUUACGCGGGUGAUCUGCUUUGAUUCCGAUUUCAUCUUCUUGAAGCUCUGAGUCGAUAUCUGACAUUAACUUGAACUCGUUGAAGCGAAUGUGUGUCAAUUCUAGAUUGCGCACUUCGUCAUUUCUCCAUGCCACUCGAGGGGAAGGAGCUGGAGUAUUUGACAGAAUGGUGGCAUUCAUCGACUUUUUCUUUGAGUUUCUCAACUUUAAAGACUCCCCACAACAAGAACACCUAUUAGCACUAGCUGGCACCACAUCAUUGCCUUUCAAAAAUAUUUUAUGAUCAUCCUCAACAAACCCCCCAUCCAUAUCCUUGUGCAAGAUACCAACCAAGGACUUGUGGGUAUCAAUAUCAGGAUCUUUCUCUGCCGCAAAAGAAAGAAGGCAUCCCUCACACAUACUCUUGAUGUCCGAGAGUUUGCGAUGGACGUGACAAUAAGCAAGGGAAGAAAUGUUCUUCUUAUGAUCCUCACAUAUCGAUUCGUUGUAGUAAAAAUCAGAAUCUCUAUGAACAAGAACAUGAUCGAUCCUCGUGCAGAGCAAACAGGGGGUUUCCAGAUCAAAAUACUUGGCGAAUUCGUUGGAUAUAAAUGCAAGAAAUCCAUCAAUGAAAAGCAAAACUAUCAUUACCAAUUCCAGAAAGGCGUAAAUCAAGAAUUGUGGAAAUAUUCCCAAAUUUUGCUCAACAAAUUGCUUGAAUUGCGAUGCCAUUAUACUCGUACGGAUCAAACAAAGACUACAACAACAAUAAUAAUAUAUAUGAUGAAGGGAUCAAGAUCAAAAAGUGGGCAUGUAUGAAUGGAAGAGUGGGCAGGAAAAGUGUGGAGACAGAUCAUGAUCUUGGAGGUAAAAGGAGAGCCCAGAUCAUGAUCUACCUCUUUCUUUCUCUCUCCUCUCUUGUAAGACCUAGAGAGAGAUGUUUUUCUUUUUUGCAAUACAAGAUUUGAAAAUCUGGGUGGUGAAAAUGUUGUGGCCGAAUUUAGAAUAAUAGGUUGCACAUAUUUUUUGUUCAGGAGUAGAGGUUGUCAGCCAGACUAUGUACCUGAAAUAACGGCCUGUCCCGCACUCUUCGACCAACCAAGACGAGGGAAAAAAAAGGAGACAAUUAUGUUAAUAAUUAAGAGCAUUCACAAUAUUUUUCUUAUCUCUAUCCCUAUUAGGUCAUUCUGUAGGAUAGGGAUUCAAAAUUUUCACUAUAUACCCAACAGGUUCCUUAUAUUGAUUCCUUAAAUAUUAAAAUUUAAAAUUUAAAAUUUGAAAGUUGCAACAGUCAAAUCAUGUUUUGAACAUUGUAACUAUUUUUUAUUUAAAAGUAAUUAUUGUUUGAAUUUAAAAAUUGCAAUUAUUUUAAUUUAAAAAUAGAUAUUGCUAGAAAUCAAAAUGUGCAACGAUCAUUAUGUGUUUAUGAGAACUAAAACAACAUUAUUUUAAUUAUAAAAUAAUAAAAUUUAUAAUUAGUAGUAAUAUUUUUUACAAAAAUGAUCAAAGUCAAAAUUUUACUGAUUUUUAAUUUUUUUUUUUAUAGUUCUCUUUCUUCUCUAAAUCCUCUGCUUAAAAAAUAAAAAUGAGUGAAUUUGAUAGGCAUACCCAAAUAAGCAAUUAAGUGAGAUAAGAUCCUUUAACUAACAUAAAAUCACAAUAAAUAGGGUGUGAAAUAUUAUUUUACAUAAAUAGGGAACGCUCUUUUGAUUUCCUCACCCUGAAGAGUCAAAUCAUAUAUAGGGAUUAAAAUAGAGAAUUAUAUAAGGAUAAAGAAACUGUUGGAUACUGAUUUAUUGAUAUAUUCUUCAAAUGUGGGGAUAGAGAGUCUAUUAGAGAAACUGUUGUAAAUGCUCUAAGUAACCAAAUAAUUUGUUAAAUCCUCAAACUUUACUUGUCCUAAUUUCUUUUUUUUAGUUUGUCUAAUUCUAUUUGUCCUCUUUUCUUUUUAAUAGUAUUAUUUUUUUAAUAAUACCCGCAUUUAAUUUUUUUUAAAAAAAUUAUUGAAAAUAACAUAACAUACAUUAGAAAAAAUAAAAUAAUUUUGACAUUGGAAUCACAAUCACGCCAUUCUUUUUUUUCCCUCUCUCUCCUAAAAUAUUCCAAGAAAGAGUUGAAAGAUUAGAUAAAACAAAACGAUGAUAAUAUAGUAAUUAAGAUGAAUAAUUUAGAGAUCAAAAAAAUUUCUUAAUACAUAUGUACUUUCAAACUAUAGAAAGUAAAUUUUUUUAGUCAAAAUAAUACAAAUUAAGUAAAACUUAAUAUAAAUAUAAAUUGAGACAUGAAAAAUACCACACAUGAACUAUUGGUAUGAAUUUAUGCUACGUUUGGAUUAAAGGAAUGGAACAGAGUAGGAAAUGGGAUAGAUGAGGGAAUGGAAUGGAAUGAUUUUUUAAUAUUCCAUGUACAUGUUUGGUUGAUGUUAUGAAUACAUCUAAGAAUGAAAUAAAUAAUUAGAAAAUGACCUAAAUACCCUCAAAUGUUCAAAUUUAACUUCAAUUCAAUUUAUAUUAAAAAAUUAACACAUACCCUCCAAUAAAAUGAUUCAUUCCAUUCUUCCUCCUAUUUCAUCGAUCCAAACGUAGCAUUAGUAUUACACUAUAAAAUACGGGAGGUUUGGGACACCUCAGUCCUCACAUUUGUGUGUGAGGAAUCUCUUAUGGUAACAAUGAUUUAAAAAAUUAUAAAAUGCUAUUAUAUAUAUAUAUAUAUAUAUAUAUAUAUAUAUAUAUAUAUAUAUAUUGAAAGGGAAUAUAUUUAAUUAUAUAAAAUGACGUUAUUUUUAAUAUAAUCUCUUUUUACUAUUAUAAUAUUAAUAUACAAUAUAAUAAUAAAAUAUGUACGUAAAACAUAAAAUUUAAAAUCUGAUUUUAAACCCCAGAAUUAUUCAUAUUUAGAGGGCUUGGGGUAUGGUGAUGAAUCUGGUGUGAGAAAAAUAAAUAUCAGAUAUUUAUUAAUAUUCCAUUAAUUAAUCAAAAUUAUGUAUUUUUUAGUUGUCUGUUUUAUUAAGUAGAUGUUAUUUUUAAAAAUACAAUUUGUCAUUCAAAGGAAUUAUACAAGGUUAUAUUUGUUCCAUACUUUCGGUUUAUUUUAUUAAGUGUUUAUGUUUAUUUUUGUUAAUAAAAUAUUGGUUCGGUAUUAUAAGAAUUUUGUAUGAUUGUAUAUCUGUUAGGGUUCUCCGCAGUAGCCGUUGAUGUCACCUUACAACAGAACACAAGCCG